Molecule: ribosomal RNA, 253 nt
Filed under: uncultured bacterium
Lineage: Bacteria
Description: partial 16S ribosomal RNA
Rfam family: Bacterial small subunit ribosomal RNA
Source: RNAcentral
UACGAAGGGGGCUAGCGUUGCUCGGAAUUACUGGGCGUAAAGGGCGCGUAGGCGGACAGUUUAGUCAGAGGUAAAAGCCCAGGGCUCAACCUUGGAACUGCCUUUGAUACUGGCUGUCUUGAGUUCGGGAGAGGUGAGUGGAAUGCCGAGUGUAGAGGUGAAAUUCGUAGAUAUUCGGCGGAACAUCAGUGGCGAAGGCGGCCUGCUGGGCUGUUGCUGACGCUGAGGCGCGACAGCGUGGGGAGCAAACAGG